UUCAGCUGGAAGAAUGCUGGAGGAAUACGGAACUCCUCCCAUUUCUCACAGCCACCUCCAACUCUUAAAAACGCUUCCAACUGCCUCCCAGCACACAACCAAGGGAGAAAACUAUUCUGUCAAAGAGACGGUGCCAAAAGGCAAAAACAAAGGAGCUGAUGGCAAAGAAGGUAGCUGUGAUUGGAGCUGGGGUCAGUGGCCUAAUUUCUCUGAAGUGCUGUGUGGAUGAGGGACUUGAGCCCACUUGCUUUGAGAGAACUGAAGAUAUUGGAGGAGUGUGGAGGUUCAAAGAGAAUGUGGAAGAUGGCCGAGCAAGUAUCUAUCAAUCUGUCGUUACCAACACCAGCAAAGAAAUGUCCUGUUUCAGUGACUUUCCAAUGCCUGAAGAUUUUCCAAACUUCCUGCAUAAUUCUAAACUUCUGGAAUAUUUCAGGAUUUUUGCUAAAAAAUUUGAUCUGCUAAAAUAUAUUCAGUUCCAGACAACUGUCCUUAGUGUGAGAAAAUGUCCAGAUUUCUCAUCCUCUGGCCAAUGGAAGGUUGUCACUCAGAGCAACGGCAAGGAGCAGAGUGCUGUCUUUGACGCAGUUAUGGUUUGCAGUGGCCACCACAUUCUACCUCAUAUCCCACUGAAGUCAUUUCCAGGUAUGGAGAGGUUCAAAGGCCAAUAUUUCCAUAGCCGCCAAUACAAGCAUCCAGAUGGAUUUGAGGGAAAACGCAUCCUGGUGAUUGGAAUGGGAAACUCAGGCUCAGAUAUUGCUGUUGAGCUGAGUAAGAAUGCUGCUCAGGUUUUUAUCAGCACCAGGCAUGGCACCUGGGUCAUGAGCCGUAUCUCUGAAGAUGGCUAUCCUUGGGACUCAGUGUUCCACACCCGGUUUCGUUCUAUGCUCCGCAAUGUACUGCCACGAACAGCUGUAAAAUGGAUGAUAGAACAACAGAUGAAUCGGUGGUUCAACCAUGAAAAUUAUGGCCUUGAGCCUCAAAACAAAUACAUUAUGAAGGAACCUGUACUAAAUGAUGAUGUCCCAAGUCGUCUACUCUGUGGAGCCAUCAAGGUGAAAUCUACAGUGAAAGAGCUCACAGAAACUUCUGCCAUCUUUGAGGAUGGAACAGUGGAGGAGAACAUUGAUGUCAUCAUUUUUGCAACAGGAUAUAGUUUCUCUUUUCCCUUCCUUGAAGAUUCACUCGUUAAAGUAGAGAAUAAUAUGGUCUCACUGUAUAAAUACAUAUUCCCCGCUCACCUGGACAAGUCAACCCUCGCGUGCAUUGGUCUCAUCCAGCCCCUAGGUUCCAUUUUCCCAACUGCUGAACUUCAAGCUCGUUGGGUGACAAGAGUUUUCAAAGGCUUGUGUAGCCUGCCCUCAGAGAGAACUAUGAUGAUGGACAUUAUCAAAAGGAAUGAAAAAAGAAUUGACCUGUUUGGAGAAAGCCAGAGCCAGACGUUGCAGACCAAUUAUGUUGACUACUUGGACGAGCUCGCCUUAGAGAUAGGUGCGAAGCCAGAUUUCUGCUCUCUCUUGUUCAAAGAUCCUAAACUGGCUGUGAGACUCUAUUUCGGACCCUGCAACUCCUAUCAGUAUCGCCUGGUUGGGCCUGGGCAAUGGGAAGGAGCCAGAAAUGCCAUCUUCACCCAGAAACAAAGAAUACUGAAGCCACUCAAGACUCGGGCCCUGAAGGAUUCAUCUAAUUUCUCAGUUUCUUUUCUGUUGAAAAUCCUGGGCCUUCUUGCUGUUGUUGUGGCCUUUUUUUGCCAACUUCAAUGGUCCUAGUCAGCAUAAUGCUUUGGGCUUUAUUAUCUUGUCAGUCACUACCUCCUAAAGAAAAAAAAAAAGGCUAGAAGAAAAAACAUUACAUUCAUGUUCUAAUUAUAGAUUUUAGAGUUAGGUAGUACAGGUAAGGGGGAAAUUGUAAAGAAUUAGCAGAAUUAGGCAUAUGUACAAAACCAAAAUUUUGUCAUGAAAUUUUGCCUUUCCACGCUUCCCUCAGUUCACCAAAGUUACCAAAAUGUAAAAUAAAAUAAGACUGGCUCAGGUAAGUAGUGCUGCCAACCCUGAUAUAGGGGAGUUGUAUGGAAAAAUAGUAGAAUUACACAGCAUGAAAAGCAGCCCAUGGUUUAAAUUAUUGGACAAUUUAAAUUGUGGGUAAAUAUUUAAAACUCCUGAACAAUGUUUCUGAUGGUCUUCUAUCCACCCUACUUGGUAACAAAGUUCUCAGAUGUUAGGUCAUGUUUCAUUUGCUCAGUCGGGGAUCACUCAAAACUACUAGACAAAAAAGUGAGAGGAUAGAUUUAGAAAACAUCAGUGAUGCUCAGAUAAACUUUUAGGACCUCAUAUUAAGAGCUAAGCAAAUGGCCACAUUUCCUAUAUUUUGACAGAGAUACUGCUGGAAAAAUUAAAAUUAAAAUGCCAUAAUAGCUACCUAACAAAUAUAUAUGUUUAAUGUUUAUCAUAGGCCAGACAUUGUGCUAUGUGCAUAUCAUAUGUAUUAUUUCAUUUAAUUCUCACAACAAUUCUGUGAAAUGGUUACAGCUAUUAUAGUCAUUUCACAGAUGAUGAAACUAAGAUUCAGAGCAGCUGAUCUUGUGAGGCAGCUGGAAUUGGAACUCAGAUUUGUUGAACUCUAGAACUAAAGAUCAUAAUGUUGUCUUGUAAUAUAUUUAUUUACAAAACACUUCAUUAUUUAUAAAGAAUUUACUAACAGUUUAUCUUAUUUAUACCCAUACAUCUGCUACUUUGGGAGGCCCUUUACAUAGAAAACAGCAUUCUUUUUGCCAAAUAUGACCAAAUUACUUUUAUUUAUAAUUUUUGAUUUAUAUUUCAGCUAGAUCUAAAAAGCAUCUGAAGGAAUUUACAAUGAAAGAUACCUAUGCAAUAACAUUUAGGAUAAUCUUUGACAUUUUGGAAAAAUAAGAAUUGAGGAAAAAAAGUGUAUCUUUCAAGUAGAUGCAAAGCAUUAUAAUGACUGACACUUGUAUCUAACUCCAGUCUUACAGAUAACUAAGGCAAAAAGCUAAAUAAACAAUAUGUAACCUCUAACAUUUGGUAAAAGGAAGUAUACUGGUCUGUUAGCAGAGACAAACUUUUUUUAGAAUUGAAGUCUGAAACAAACAAAAGCAAUUCAAUGUCAAUAGACAUUAAGCAACAUAAUAGACAAACAUCUCCUAAGGGAACAUUUGUUACAGCUGCUCCUUCCCUGAACUGUGCUUUGGAAGAUAAGCUCUGUCCUGAGUCCAAACCAAGCCCUUCCAAGAGAGAACAAAGGUCAGAGAUGUUGAAGAUUCCAGCAAAUUUCUCCUCUUAUUUCUACCAAGCCUUUGUGAACAUUGCUCUUCAUUUUGGCCUGUACUUCUCCCUCAGGGACGUAGAACAAUGGAAUGUCAGUCAGUCUCUGUAGUUAAAACUUUUUCUUUAAAAUUCAAUUAAGGUACUUCUCCCUCAGGGACGUAGAACAAUGGAAUGUCAGUCAGUCUCUGUAGUUAAAACUUUUUCUUUAAAAUUCAAUUAAGUUACACCAGAAUUUACAGGCAAGAUUUUUUUUUUCAUUGCUCCCAUAAGCAAAUUUGUUUUAAAAUAAUUGUAAAUGAGGUAUAUACUUAGUUCUUGGUUAAAAAAUAUAUUGCUUUGUUAAGUAUUAAAGAUUAUUUGUAAGUCAUUGUAUUAAUAAUACUAAUAAAAUUUAUCAAGCCUUUAUAGCAAGGGUCAGUGAAUUACCACUGCCUGUGGGCCAAAUCUAGCUCACUAUCUGUUUUUGUAAAUAAAAUUUUAUAAUAGUACACAGCCACACUCAUUCAUUUAUUUUCUGUGGUUGCUUUCAAGCUACAAUUGUAGAGUUGGGUAGUCGCAACAGAAUCUCUGUGGCCCACAAGGCUAAAAUAUUUACAUUCUCACCCAUUACAGAAAAAGUUUGAUAAUUCCUGCUUUAUAAUAUGUAAGGCAUUGUCCCAUUUUGCAUAACUUGCCUUAUUUCAUCAUUAUCACUACCCAUUUAGUAGCUAUGGUUGUUAUCUUACUUCUACAGUGGAAGAGAUUGAAAAGCAUUUGUCAGGUUAAUGCUAAAUCAGUGCGGAAAUAUAGCUCCACUAGGAAAAUAUUAUUAAAUUUAUAUCCCUAAAAUUUUUAGAAAUCUCUCAAAAUCUUUCCAAAUGUUCUGGUAUCUUUGAAAAAUGUAAAUAGUUUAUUUAUAGAGAACCCUACCUCUGAGGUUGACUCAAAGGUUAAAGAAGGCUCAUCAGUCUAUCCUUCUGCCUCCAUAUAUCCUGAACAUCAAACUAUCCCAGGAAAACCAUCUAGAGUAGUUUGUUUCAAAAUAUUAGCCACAGACCACCUACAUCACAAUAACUCAGGGAGCUUAUAGAAGUGAAGAUUCCUGAAUAUAAACAUAGUAAUAAUUCAACCUACUGAAUGGAAAUCUCUGCUGAAAUCCACAGUUUUCAUAAGCUCCCCAGAUGAUUCCUGUGUACAUUAAAUCUAGAAACCAUUAGUUUGAGAUCUCUCAAAAAUAAAAAUAAAAAUUGCUUUCAGAGAGUAGCCCAUGAAAUUUCCCAUUCUUCAAGGACAAAUUCCUUCUGUUCAGCCUUGGUCCUCCAACUGCAGUUUACAAUUUUUGUUCUUCUCCUGUAAAGAAUGUCAAUGGUUAUCACCUUCAAUAGUUUCAAUAUGUCCCCCAAAGUUAUGUGUUUGAAACUUGCAAUAGUAUUGGGAGAUGGGGCCUAAUGAGGUGAUUAGGUGAAGUCUCUGCCCUCAUGAAAAGAUUAAUCCCAUUAUCUCAGGAGUGUGUUGGUUAUAAAAGCAAGUUUGGCUCCCUCUUUUCCUCACACACUCUUUUUCCCUUCUGCCUUCACCUUUGCCGUGGGUGGACACAGCAAGAAGGCCCUCAUCAGAUGCUGGCCCCUUGGUCUUGAAUUUCCUAGCCUCUACAACUAAGCCAAAUAAAUUUCUGUUUAUUAUAAAUAACCCAGUCUCAGAUAUUCUGUUACAGAAACACAAAAUGGACUAAGACACCACCCUUUUCCAAAAUCUCUCCUUGUGAUGGCUCCCUUUACUAACCUUUCUUUUAGCUAUUCCCUUUAUGAUAGUUUCUUAAUUUUUUCUAUCAAAAGCUAAAUAUGGCACACUUGUUCUUUACAGAAAAAUAAAGAUAUUUUAAACAAAAUACUAGGGCCAUGGUAUGUAAUAAAAUUUGAAACAAUAAUUUCAAAUAAUAAAGAUUGAAAAUGCUUAACCCAGAAA
Non-coding RNA from Homo sapiens (human), 5225 nucleotides. The record is from RefSeq and is a predicted model, not a curated record. NCBI's taxonomy places the organism in Eukaryota, Metazoa, Chordata, Mammalia, Primates, Hominidae.